Lotus japonicus is the source of this 650-nucleotide long non-coding RNA. RefSeq lists it as uncharacterized. The record is from RefSeq and is a predicted model, not a curated record. NCBI's taxonomy places the organism in Eukaryota, Viridiplantae, Streptophyta, Magnoliopsida, Fabales, Fabaceae. The transcript has 3 exons.
AGUGCUGUCACGGAGCAACUAAAUGUUGUAGUUUUAGUUUUGAUAGUCAAUGCCAAUCCUCAGAUAGUCUGUUUCUAAUUAAUGACUUCUGUUCUGUUCAUUUGUGGAUGCAUGCAAUGUUUUUACUCAUCCCAUAGGAGGGCUUUUAUGUAAUUCAAGGUUAAAAAUGCAGAUGAACAUUUGUAAUGCAGAUGUGCUGCAACAUUUUAUUUCUGCAUCUUCUGUCUGCAGUGUUCCUUUCUACAUGGCUAUUUUUGCAUACUUAAGAACUCAACCUCUAAUUGCAUAUUUCAGCUUAAUUGAAAUUAUAUACAACUGAGAAGUAUCUUCAUUACCAGUGGUAACAAUGUCUCUUCUGCUUACAGUCAAAUGUCAAAUAUAGCUGAACUCAAGGAACAUUUAGAUGAGGAAAGAACAGACAUCAAGUGAGAAAAGGUUCAGAAUUUUAUCUCUUCUCAAGCUCAAUCACGAACUCACUUUCUCUUGGUGCAAAUGAUUAAGCUUAUUGUUAGAGUCUGGGCAGUGCAUCAACUUUCUUUUGCGUGGAAUUCCAGUGUCUCUUUCUAUCCAGGAUUCAAUUUCUUCAGUGUCAGCGGGGUAUAGUUUGAGGAGUGUUGACUGCAGAGAACAAUGUAGAAUAAUUGUUUGAA